Molecule: long non-coding RNA, 1556 nt
Filed under: Nicotiana benthamiana
Lineage: Eukaryota; Viridiplantae; Streptophyta; Magnoliopsida; Solanales; Solanaceae
Description: long non-coding RNA (NBEN_LNC011793)
Source: RNAcentral
GCUACUCAUACUAAGAGAUAGAAAUUAUCUAAAUAAAGUCAUAAUCAACAAUGGAAUUAAAAAGAAGAAGAAUAAAACUCUAAGGAAAAUUCUUUGUCUUUCUUCCGUGUUCUUGCCUUCAAAAUCUCUCUAAAAACAGCUAUCUCUCUCUUUAGGACGGAUUAGGCUUCAUAUAGGUUAAGGUUAGUCGCCCUGGAAAUCACAUAGUUGACCCUGGCUUCUUGGCUCUCGUAUGCCCGUCCGCGGCCGUGGAUUGGACCACUGAUGGAUCACGGAUUUGUGUUCUAUCAAUGGCUGCAAAUCUGACAGCGGAGCUGGGCGCAUAGUAGGUACUUGCUCUUCUUUCUCCUUUUCGACCAGGCUAUCCUCCAAUUGGCUUUUCAUGCUCCAUAUUGACUUCAAAACACUUUUUAGCUUCCUCCUAACUCGGAGUGGUUCCUUCAAAAUAUAAAACUCUUAAUUAAAGUAUUUUUUUAUCUUUUAUAUUCAAAUAUUGAUAAAGUAUGACUAAAUUAGAGUGUAAAUAGUAUUUAAAUUACAUAAUUAUCGUCUACUAAGAGUCCGCCCUUGAAUAUUACAUAAAUUAUGACAGAGGGAGUAGAAUUGAGUGGAUUAGAGUAAAGACGCGUUUAGUAACUAUAGGAUAUCCACACUAAAUGAAAAUUGGCAAAAAUGAUAAAUCUAAUUGAGAAGUUGAGUCACUUGUAUCAACUUGUGUGGCAUUUCAAAAUACUAAUGAGAGGUCACUUUUGCUAUGUUAAUCUCCAAACGAGUUCUUUGUUCUGAUUCAAAACGAAUGUAGUUAUUCAGUAGCUUUAAUUCAAAAUUUAUAUUUAUAUUAAAAAAUAUAUUUGAUAUAUAUAAAAAAGUUACUUCAGAACCAAAUUACUAACAUGUGAGAUAUCAUCUUAAGAUGUAAAAUCCAUAAAAGCUUUGUAUUUGUGGAGAAGAGAAAUAGGAGGAUUUAAACCAUAAGCUUUGGAGUCGCAAUCAAAGUACGAAGGGAUAUGAUAUUUCAAAUUUGACAAAGUCAACUUAGUUACUGCGUCUAUGGCAAGUCUUGCUGCAAUUUCCCUACUUCUUCCAAUUUCUCUAUAUUUGGAUUUUUCUUCACUAAGUUUUUUCUAUUAAUGUGGCAUGUUCUUCAAUUUCCAUCGGCUGAAUUAAGCACGGGAUCGUACCUUACUUCCCCCUCUUGUAGAUGAGAACAAACACCCAACCUGCAUGCAAAGAAAGAAAAAUCAAGAAUCAAUUGUUUUGCUUACUCCAUUACUUAGUAUUUUCUCAUCCAAUAUGCACUGCAGCCAAUACCAAAAUCUUGAAUACCCAAGAGCAGGGGAGAUUUAGGGGCAGAAGUAAGUUUAUCUGUAUCUUCUUCGUCGAAAAAUUAUACUACACAUAUAAAAUAUUUUUUUUAUACUUUUAUAUAUUCUAAUUUAAAUCCCCUUUACAUAGCCUAAAAAUAUUUUCAAUAGCCACAUUCUCUUUUAAUCUUUUUAUUUAUUUUAAUUCUUUAACGAAAAUCCUAUUUCCGUCACUAUCCAAAAAGAGACUAG